This 64-nucleotide transfer RNA is filed under the name Maoricicada campbelli. RNAcentral describes it as "tRNA-His". Lineage: Eukaryota; Metazoa; Arthropoda; Insecta; Hemiptera; Cicadidae. RNAcentral also lists the same sequence under 2 other names. The record is from RNAcentral.
AUUCAAUUAGUUUAAUAAAAAUAUUAAAUUGUGAUUUUAAAGAUAAAAAUAAAUUUAUUGGAUA